Long non-coding RNA from Mustela lutreola (European mink), 900 nucleotides. RefSeq lists it as uncharacterized. Lineage: Eukaryota; Metazoa; Chordata; Mammalia; Carnivora; Mustelidae. The record is from RefSeq and is a predicted model, not a curated record. The transcript is spliced from 3 exons.
UAGCGCCCUGGGAAGAGAGAAACAAGAACAGAGAAUCAGUUUAGCUUUUAAAGAGCCGUGCAAGCCAUACAGCCCCAGGCCUGGAAACGGCCUCCAUGCACCACCCCACGGAGGCGGUCAGCUAACCCGUGGGCCAGCCUCCUGGAUGGGAUACCGUGUAGCACUGAAAACCACUGAUCAGAGACAAGGUGGUAUUUUCAUGAGAAGAGCAAAGAUCAACUUUUUUAACCCCAACGGUUUUAAGGAGGUGUUGAAAACAGUUCUCCGAACAGCGCUUGCCACAAAGAACAAAUGUUCAAUGAAUAAUUUGACGGACCUGGGAGGGAUUUGUGUGUCUAACCCUCAGCAAACAGCUCAUCCUUGCUUGGGUGGAAAAUGGAAAUGGUGAGUCACUUCACAAAGGUUUGAGGAGAGGACUUCCAGUCCAUGAGAGGCCCCUAAUGAACAUUACGGAAUUAGACUCCUCCGCUGGGCGCCCGCGAUGUGGUGCCCUCUGAACUCUGCAUCCCCAGGGGACAACGGAGACAGUGCGUUUGCUGGGUAAGGCCUCUCUCCUCCUCUGGGUAGGAUCAUCUCUUACAGUGACGAGUUACUCUUAAAUGUCAAAGUCUUGACAAUGCCUCAAAUACUCUCUCGGAGCUGCUCAUCACUCAGAUCCUUUCUCAAAUGUCACCUCCUCUGAGAAGUCCUCCCUGACUCCACUCCAUUGCUUUCUAUUCCUUUAUCAAAAGGUAUUUUCUUAUCACCUUUUAAAACUUGAUUUUUAGGGCGCCUGGUGGCUCAGUGGGUUAAAGCCUCUGCCUUCGGCUCAGCUCAUGAUCCCAGGGUCCUGGGAUCGAGCCCCACAUCAGGCUCUCUGCUCAGUGGGGAGUCUGCUUCCUCCUCUCUCUCUGCCUGCCU